CAUGUCUUUUUGUAAAUUAUUUAAAGUCUAAUCUGCCCACUGAAUGUUUUAAAGGGCCGCAGUAAUCUGACUGUGCAAAGGUAGCAUAAUCAUUUGUCUUUUAAUUGAAGGCUAGUAUGAAUGAUUGGACGAGGUAAAUACUGUCUCAUUAUUAUAAUAAUAAAAAUUUAGCUUUUUAGUUAAAAGGCUAAGAUUCUGUUGGAGGACGAGAAGACCCUAUAGAUCUUUAUAUUUUUGGGUUUAUUUUUAUUUUGGUUUUAUAAUUUUUUAAUAAAUUUAUAAAUAUUUUGUUGGGGUGACAUGAAAAUUAAAUAAACUUUUCAUAUUUUAUAAUACAUUGAUUAAUGAUUUUAUGAUCCAUUAUUAUUGAUUACAAGAAUAAGUUACCUUAGGGAUAACAGCGUUAUUUUAUUGGAGAGUUCAUAUUGAUAAUAAAGUUUGCGACCUC
Molecule: ribosomal RNA, 448 nt
Filed under: Barbibucca sp. BKP01
Lineage: Eukaryota; Metazoa; Arthropoda; Insecta; Neuroptera; Nemopteridae
Description: partial 16S ribosomal RNA
Rfam family: Bacterial large subunit ribosomal RNA
Source: RNAcentral